UUGCCUUUCUUUACCUUUUUUAUUUGAAACGGAAAAGGUAAAGAGAGGCAACCCUACAAACACAAUGUGAGGAUUCACGAUUCAUUUGACAAAUUUUAUCCACAAAUGUUUCAAAUCGUUCACUCUGAUACUCCUUUCUCUUGCAUUCAAAGCAAACAACAGUGUAUCGGAGCGUGAUCAAACAUCUCUCACCCAAAAACACACAAUACAGUCAAAAUGAAACAUGCAACCCUGAACUCGAACAAGUGCGUGCGAAACCCUCCGCUCAGUCCACAUACAGUUUAAGGUGAAAAAUAAACAUUUACACACAAAUAUCAUAAUUUCUUAGAUAUCCCUUAUUUAAUACAAAGCAUAUGGCAAAUAAACUAUGCAGAGGUCUAAAUGCGUGCUUCUGUGUGGAUGGAGGAAUUGUUGUGGAUCAUUUCUUUUUAUGAAGGGAGAAAUAUACAUCAAACUAAGAAUCACUUCCAAGUAAUCAUUAGACCCUUCAUUAACAAGUGCAAACUGAAAUCAAUUAAGUUGUUUGCAACUAUUUACACACAAAUACACAAAGGAAACUAGUCCUGUGUGCAUUAGCGCUGAUGAUGCCCACGUGAUGCAGCUCACCAUUCGAGUCUCGGUAUGGAAAAGCUCUACAAAUUUCAGCCAAAAAAAAAUAAAAAAUACAAACUAUUC
This is a long non-coding RNA of Sinocyclocheilus anshuiensis, 675 nucleotides long. RefSeq lists it as uncharacterized. The record is from RefSeq and is a predicted model, not a curated record. NCBI's taxonomy places the organism in Eukaryota, Metazoa, Chordata, Actinopteri, Cypriniformes, Cyprinidae. The transcript has 3 exons.